AUAAAGGUUUGGUGCCUUUAGAAGAAGAGAGAUAUCCAAGAUUUCUCUCGCCACUGUGUGAAAACAGCAAGGAGGCGGCUGUCUGCAAUCCAGAAAGGGAGUUCUCACCAGAAACUGACCAUCCCAGACCCUGACCCGGGACUUCUAGCCUUCACAGCUGUGAGAAAUAUAUAUUUCUGUUGUUGAAGCCACAUAGUCUGUGGUAUUUUGCCAUUGCAGCCUCAGCAGACUAACAGUCAUGAAAACCCUCCAGCAGCAGCCACUAUAACUGGGCAGGAGGAAAUCCAAUCACCUUUUGAGAUGACUUGUCAAUGCUCCAUUCUUUCCAGACCGCAGAAGGUCAGCACACGGUGGUCUGAUGAGCUGCUUGGAGUGUGUGUCAUCAAUGGGCCCUCCUGGAGAUGCCGCGGCUGUGCAGUCCCCUCAGGGGCCAGGCUGCAUCUGGUGAAACUUCAUUUCAACACAGGUGUUGGUGACAUGGUCACGUCAUGUAGAAAUGAGAGAUUCAGUUGCUCCUUCCCUUGGUGGCCUGUCUACACAGCUUCAUGAAGGGAGGAAUGGAGAAAUUUCUGUCCCUCCACCCAAAGACAUUUUAAGAAGGAAGAAUAAAUCCAAGCACCUGGAACCUUCAGUCAAGUCACAUUUUUAUCUAUCCCAUUGGUGUAAGGGGAAUGUGAAAGACUGAAUCAUACUUGAAGGAUAAAGCUAGCUGUCUAGAGAUCUUUUGGGAACAAAAGUUUUACUGAAACUGUCGUAUAGUCAAGGUGAUGUAGUUUUGGAAUACAGUUGAAGAAACAUAUGAAGAGGUUAAGUAACUUUCCUAUGGUCAUAGAAGUGAUAAGUGAUGAACCAGGGCUUAUCUGAUCCGGAAUUGAUGGCCUGUCCAUUCUAUCACAACACCACCUCCAAGCAUUAUCUUCACCUGAAUUUUUUCCCUGUAUCUCAAGGAAGCAUAGCCCAGUGAAGAACUAUUUAACCCAGUGAAGAAUCAUUGUAUUAAACUGUGAAAUGUCCACCAGGAGAAGCACAGAAUAUGCUGGUAGUUCAGAAGAAAAGGAGUUCUAUGGUGUUGGAGAGGGGAUCAGAGAAGGAUUCCUGAAAGAGGGUGAGAAAUUCGGAUUUAAUUAUAAUGAGAGAGGAAACCAUCAAUGGAUUUAAGGGAGAGAAGUGGUGUGACCUAAUAUGAUCUGAUUUACAUUUUCAGGUGGGCAAGCAGAAGCUGGACCUUGAUAACCAAAAGAAGCGUUGUCAUAACCCAGCCCAAUCCAUAAUUAGAUAGCGAUCUCUCUAGCUGGCAGCUCCAUCCAAGGUCAGCAAAUGAAUCUCCUAGUGUUCAAGGAACGUUGCCUCAGAAGGAGACUAUUCCAGGUAUCCAUCCUCGUUUGUGCAACACCUGCAUUCCAGUCGUUUCUUUCUGAAUGGUAAGUCAGCCACAGAAACAGCACAGCAUACUUGCCUUAUCUCUAUUUCCCCUCACGGCAGUGAUGUAAUGCGAUGGAAAUCUCUGCCUGUUUAUUGUAUCAUCAGCAAUAGCUCUAUGACUACAUAGUAUUCUGAGAAGGGUGGAGAUACAAUUAAAAUGUAAGUAAACUAAAACCCACCUCCCCACAUUAUCCCGGGCUUCGGGUAUGUUCCACCCUCCCUGUCCCUGGCCAUGUUCAAGUCUUUGUAUUGUUUCCUGGAUUGUCCCACUAAGGCCAUAUGUAUCUGCUUGUAGCCAGUGCAACUGAGCUCCCCAAACACAGAUUCCCAUGAAAACGGAACAAAAGACGAGGGAGAGGCAGAGCAUGUUAAAUGUCUCAUUAGGCCUUCUGUCUGAUUCUCAUUAGAUUCGCUGACUGCUUCUCAUUAGGCCCAUUGCCUCCACUUCUUGCAGGCCCUGAAUAUGUAGGCCAGUGCUUAUUGUCAUGGUUGGUCCAGAAGAUCCAUUUCAUUUAUUCACAAAUUGAAUGUGGCUUCUGAAAAGUCCCGGGCAAUUUUUUUGGCAAAGUUGAGAGAGGCUUAUUGUUGCUAUUUGCUAUUUUUUGAGCAAUCCUAAGCAGGGUGGGCGGGAGAACUCAUUUAAAGACCCAGCACAAAAACUUCAAACUCUCCUGCAGAAUUGGGAGGCUGGGAGAUAACUGGCCAGCCUGUAUGUGCGGACAUCAGGAACGGGUGACGUUGUGGGCAAAGUCACAAAUACGACUGGGUAAGACAGAACAAGAUGCUCAAUGGCAGGGUGUGGAAGAGGAUAGUUGUCAGGGACCACUGGUGACUGCAACUCCCAUCCUCCCUGAUCUCUGGGAACAUUUCCCCAGUUGUUGAAAUAAGAGCCAAAUGAUAGUAUGGAAAAGUCACCAUAUAGUCGAAUAGUCUACAAAUUAUGUGUGCGUGUGAAAAGAAAUCACUUAUAUCUCAUUAUUCUUCUCACUGAAACAUAGUGCCUGCUUCCUUCUACUGGGAAGAAAGCUCCCAAUAUAUGUUGCCGUCGAUGACAUCAGUGGACAUGGCCCUGAAUUACAACACAAAAACGUGUAUCUCCAAAAGAAGAAACAGAUAUAGAUGAGCAUUUCUCAAAAAGUGGCAAACAAAUGCCUACUUUCUACAUUCUCUCUUUGCUAUUGUUUUGUCUUGAUGUUUGAGUUUUUUAUUUGGUGAACAUGAUAGGGAUGCAAGAUGGUUUUGAGAGUCAUGUGGUGCCUGAAAUCAGAAGAAUGAUACUCACAGGGAGUAUUUAUUAUUAUUAUUAUUAUUAUUAUUAUUAUUAUUAUUAUUUUCUUCCUGGACAGUGAAGUUCAAAGGAGAUUUGGUAACUUUACAAAGUGAAUGUUUCCCUCCUGAUAUGUGACUGAGUUAGAUAUAGAGGAAAAUCAGAUUGCCCAAGAGAAACAAUUGUGAAAUUAGGUAUCAGUAUAAGAUUUGAUACCUUCUCCCUCCCUUAUGAUCUCACACAGAAGGGAGAGAAAAGGUGCCUCCAUAGAAAACCUUCUCCUCUGUCAGGAAGUAAGGCUGGUAUUCCCCAAGGAAGGAGAAGGGUUAUGACUCACUGAGGAGGCAGCGGGUGUGGUUCCUUUUAGACAUGCUCCAGCUGCUCCAUAAGCUGGAAAGACAUGGUCACUUCUCCUUUGUGGAUUUUGCCUGAGUUUGCAAUGUCCCACUUCUGAGAUAGAGCUGAAAGCAUAUUUUUAUCCUGUGUUAUAUGAAGAAUUUCUGUCUCCGUACAUGACUGUAUCAAUGCAGUUACAUAUUUUUAAGGUUACUGCCUUUCUGUCAGGCUAAGUGGUCAGUCUUAAAAUGACCCUGCGUAGAGACUAGAGGAUAGAACUUGUUGUAUGAAAGAGUACAGCCGUUCCAAAGAGGCCUCUAUGAAAGUUUUUUUCUUUUUCCCCUCCCCUCCAAUAUUGACUUCUAAGCAACUUUCAGCAUUCUCGGUGAGCCUGCCCUCACCCUUUUGUAAGUAAGUACUUUCUCUUCGGAGGACUCGACUUCUGAAUAUUCCAGGAAAUAGGUAUCCCAGACUGCAAUGCCCCAUUCACAACAUUCCCAAAUAAAAAAUCUUUCUUUUUUGCCUAGUUGGCUCACAGAAUACACAGUUUUAUGAAGCCUGUUUAAGAUGGCAGGUCUCUGUGCUUUAGUAUCUGGAGGAGACAUUCUUAUUGGUGCCUAUAGGCCAUGAUUGUGGAGAUGACAUAAAAAUUUUGGCUCUAAAUCUCUUUAGCAAAAAGCUCUGUUCAGAGACAGGCUAGAACAAUGGGCUGAAAGUGAUCUUGGCCUUUCAAGGGCUUUAUCCUAUCCAAAGUUCCAGCAGGAGAACCUGAUCUCCCAGAAAGUAUCUCUUUUAUUGCCAACCGUAGAGAAUCACUGACAAAACUAAUUAAAGAAUUUGAACCUCAUUCUGUCUUUCCUUAGCUGACCCUCAACCAGGGGCUGGACUCGAAACAAAGACACAAGAUAUAGAAUAUGAGGCUCUCACCAGGCUUUGGGUUGCCAUCAGAAAUAAUGAAGUUUGAAGUUCCUGAAUGUUAUCCAUUUAUUGGACUCGACUUUCCACCCUUUCCUUGAAUUCAAGGAGCCAGGUCAAAAUGAAACUUGCCUGCUUCUUCACUGUGAUCUGCACCACCUGGAAUAGUCCCCAAUACAGAAAACAUGCUGUAACUGUCUGUUAAUGACUCAAUGAGCCACAGAAGAAUACCUGAGUAAUGCACAUUUUUUCCCCAAAAAUAAUUGGAAGGCAUUGAAGUAAACUAAGGACCACAAUGUACUGAAGAAUAGAUGGAGUUAAUUUUGGAAAUAUUCCUAAAGGUUCAGAUCUUGAACUAACAUCUGAAAACCCUUCUGAAAGGUAUAGAAAAUGAACAGCAGAAACUUGUUUCUCCUCUGUAGACCAGUUCAGCCAGAAGCCUUGAGGCAGAAAUUGAGGAAAGGGUUCUGAAAAUGAAUGAGCCCAGCCUUGUUGGAGCAGAGAGACUCCGGAGAAGAGAAGUAACAAAUGAGAGGGGCAUCAGGGUGGGGUAGGUAGAGGAGAGUUGGAAUCAAUGGUCAGAAGUUUCUAUUUGGUCCAGAUGGUAAUAGGAAGCCACUGGAGGGCCAUGUUUACACAUUUUCAAAAUCCAAUUAGGAUACCACAUGUUUUUAUGGUCUAAUCACCCAUUUUGGACCCAUUAAAUAAAUUAGUUGAGAGAGAAAAACAAAGGGAAAAAUAAAACGAUGUGUCAUUUGAUAGCAUUAGGAAAUCAUGGGAUAAAUGUGUGAAAUUGGAAUGUUUGACCUGGAACCAAAUUAAUCCAAAUAUGGUCUUGAUGACUGAGUCUCGAACUGAACUAGGCCCACGCUAAUGUUUGAAAAUGUGAACAGUUAAGAAAAUACAAAAGAAAGGAUGGUGGUUUGGGUGAGGAACAUGGUCCAUUCUCUCUCUUUGAAUGGUUCAGAUAUUUACUUGCCGAGGGUGGAGGCCCAGGGCAGCUGAUUUCUCAUGCUCGAUUCCAAGCUCUAGGUUCUAACGGUUCUAUAAGAACACUGGUUGAUACACAUGAGGCGGAAGCAGCUGUUCCAGUGAAAUUCCCUCGGGAGAGGAAGGCAGGCCAGCCAUCCAGAUGGGAUCAAGCAAAGGGAGGAGGAUAGGGGAGAAACAGACACUGGGAACAGGCUGGGAUUUGGUGUGGCACCUGCUGUCCAUCCUGUCCUCAGCCUUAGCCACAAGUUAGAACAUACAGUAAAUGGGGUGUAGUGACAAAACAGAAGAGUUUUCUUGGCAGAAAGAAAUCAUCCUCGUUCUCUUGUGCUAGGAGGAUUUUAUUUUUUAGAACCCCAUUACUCAGAGUGUGGUUCCCCACGCAGGGCAUCCACAGCUGCUGGGGGCUUGUUAGAAAUGCAGAAACUCAGGCCUCAAACCAGACUAGCUAAAGAAGAAUCUGCACUUUAACGUUCUUUCCCAGGUGACUCGUAAGCACAUUAGUUUGCAAAACAUUGUGUCAGA
Canis lupus familiaris (dog) is the source of this 5455-nucleotide long non-coding RNA. RefSeq lists it as uncharacterized. The record is from RefSeq and is a predicted model, not a curated record. The transcript has 9 exons. NCBI's taxonomy places the organism in Eukaryota, Metazoa, Chordata, Mammalia, Carnivora, Canidae.